AUUCGAGUGGCGGACGGGUGAGUAACGCGUGAGCAAUCUGUCCCACAGAGGGGGAUAACAACUGGAAACAGUUGCUAAUACCGCAUAAGACCACACUGUCGCAUGACAGAGAGGUCAAAGGAGCAAUCCGCUGUGGGGUGAGCUCGCGUCCGAUUAGUUAGUUGGUAGAGGUAACGGCCCACCAAGACAGCGAUCGGUAGCCGACCUGAGAGGGUGAUCGGCCACAUUGGGACUGAGACACGGCCCAGACUCCUACGGGAGGCAGCAGUGGGGAAUAUUGGGCAAUGGGCGAAAGCCUGACCCAGCAACGCCGCGUGAGGGAAGAAGGUUUUCGGAUUGUAAACCUCUGUCCUAAGGGACGAGGGAAGUGACGGUACCUUAGGAGGAAGCCCCGGCUAACUACGUGCCAGCAGCCGCGGUAAUACGUAGGGGGCGAGCGUUGUCCGGAAUGACUGGGCGUAAAGGGCGUGUAGGCGGCAGUAUAAGUCCGGAGUGAAAGUCCUGCUUUCAAGGUGGGAAUUGCUUUGGAGACUGUACAGCUUGAGUGCGGAAGAGGUAAGUGGAAUUCCCAGUGUAGCGGUGAAAUGCGUAGAGAUUGGGAGGAACACCAGUGGCGAAGGCGACUUACUGGGCCGUAACUGACGCUGAGGCGCGAAAGCGUGGGGAGCGAACAGGAUUAGAUACCCUGGUAGUCCACGCGGUAAACGAUGAAUGCUAGGUGUAGGGGGUAUCGACCCCUUCUGUGCCGGAGUAAACACAAUAAGCAUUCCGCCUGGGGAGUACGGCCGCAAGGUUGAAACUCAAAGGAAUUGACGGGGGCCCGCACAAGCAGCGGAGCAUGUGGUUUAAUUCGACGCAACGCGAAGAACCUUACCAGGUCUUGACAUCGAUCCAAAGCUACAGAGAUGUAGUGUGACUUCGGUCAGGAGAAGACAGGUGGUGCAUGGUUGUCGUCAGCUCGUGUCGUGAGAUGUUGGGUUAAGUCCCGCAACGAGCGCAACCCUUAUUGUCAGUUACUAACGGGUAAGGCCGAGGACUCUGACGAGACUGCCGGGGACAACUCGGAGGAAGGUGGGGACGACGUCAAAUCGUCAUGCCCCUUAUGACCUGGGCUACACACGUGCUACAAUGGUGGUAACAAAGAGGAGCGAGCCCGUAAGGGUAAGCGGAUCUCAAAAAAGCCAUCUUAGUUCGGAUUGUGGGCUGCAACCCGCCCACAUGAAGUUGGAGUUGCUAGUAAUCGCGAAUCAGCAUGUCGCGGUGAAUACGUUCUCGGGCCUUGUACUCACCGCCCGUCA
This 1298-nucleotide ribosomal RNA is filed under the name uncultured bacterium. Its description in RNAcentral is "bacterial SSU rRNA". It matches the Rfam family "Bacterial small subunit ribosomal RNA", at positions 89 to 1399 of the family's 1533-position model. The record is from RNAcentral.